Molecule: long non-coding RNA, 256 nt
Organism: Saccostrea cuccullata (small rock oyster)
Lineage: Eukaryota; Metazoa; Mollusca; Bivalvia; Ostreida; Ostreidae
Exons: 3
Source: RefSeq, a predicted model, not a curated record
GGUUUUUCUGAUGGUCUCUGUCAUAUUAGCGAAGAAUUCAUGGAGAAAGAAAGGUAAAGGACGUGCUUUUUGCAUGCGGAAUUCGAGAAUCUGUUACAAAGGAAAGCUGUGUAUAAAACCGGACUCUUCACGCUAUUGUAGAUGUCCACCUCGUUGGACAGGAACAGAUUGUCGUCAAAAGUUAGGUAAAGGACGUGAUUUUUGCUUGCGGAAUCGGAGAAUCUGUUACAAAGGAAAGCUGUGUAUCAAACCGGAC